UACAUUGCAGAGGGCGGAGCUACCCCUCUUCCCCCAGGACCCCGCUGGGGGGAGGGGCGGUGGUCGAUGGAAUGUUGAGACAUUAAAAAAAAAACCCAACGUUCCCCGUAACUAGCCCCCGUGGGGAGCUGAGCCGGGGGAGCGCAGGCGUUGGGGUGUACGCAUUGCGCAGCGCUCUUGUCCACACGUUGCCAUGACCAGUUCGGAACAGUCAGAGAUGCUGUUUGGGACAGAAAUACAGCGCUUGAAAUUCCUGGUUUCUGUAGAUUUGAUUCUGGUGACAGGGGACUGUAAAGCGUGUUAAGCUCCAAAGACCAUCACGUGCAGAGUGCAAUACUAUUUUGCCUUCUGAUCUACAUACACGUCGUGCUUUCCUUUUGGUGCCCCCGAAUGCAAAGGAUCCGUGGCCUAUGUACUUGGAAAUACCCAAUACAGCUCGCUUGAUCUGAAAUCAACGUGGAAAGAAUUCAAACCAUGUCGGAUUAUUGCGCUCUCUAAAGCAGGAUCUUCAGCAGAAGAGGAAAUGGAGGGAAGGCGUAAAGACAGUCCUUGUCCUGGGGAGAAGAAGAGCAUUGCCAAGAGAGUGUCCAAUCCCCCCAACCCCAGAACAGUAUCAUGGACACUUCUUGUUCUGAUUCUCUGUGACCCAAGAAUGGCCCUGGGACCCUUCAAUGGAGAGAGGCAUCAGUCUUCUCAGUGAAGAGCUUCACGCCUCCAAAGGGGGUGUCCGCCACCAUGGUCUGCAUCUCCUUUGGGAAUUCCGAGAGGUGGAAUCAUGACGCCCAUUUCAUCACCACUGCCAUGGAGAUGGUCCUGGUAGCUGUGAUGGCACAGCCAUAUAAAAGCCAAAAGAAAGCUAAAGGGUUUCUAAAAGCUAAAGAUUAACAACUGAAAAGAAGAGUUAAUGAUCUGCUAAUGGACAGCUAAAGGUUCCAUUUCUAGUCAGAGCAGUUGAGAAGGCACUGAGGACAGCGCAGCAGGAAGAGAGACUGCGCAUGUAUUGACCCAACUGACACUGUUACCAAAGUUCUCUGAUCGGCAGUGCAGGAACACAGACGUAUCUACAGUGGAGCACCCGCAGGGACACUACUCAAGAAGAAGUUAUUUUCCCCUUCUCAUAACACUCAAACCAGGGGUCAGCCAAUGAAAUUAACAGGCAGCAGGUUUAAAACAAACUAAAGGAAGUAUUUCUUCACACAGCGCACCAUUAACCCGUGGAACUUGUCAGGGGAGGUUGUGAAGGCCAAAAUAUAAUAGGCUUCAAAAACAAAUUCAGUAAGUUCAUGGAGGAUAGGUCUAGCAAUGGCUAUUAACCAAGAUGGUCAAAGACCCAACCCCAUGCUCUGGCUGUCCCUAGCCUCUGACUGCCAGAAGUUUGGGCUGGAUGAGAGGGGAUGGAUCACUUGAUGAUUGCCUGUUCUGUUCACUCCCUCUGGGGCACCUGGCAUUGGCCACUGUCGGAAGACAGGACACUGGGCUAGAUGGAUCUUUGGUCUGACCCAGUAUGGUAAUUUGUAUGUCCUUAAGAUUCCAACAAAGGCAUGUUCUCUCCUUGUUGCCUUUGUGGGGCUGGCCCUUCCUAAUGUUAUUGGCCUGCAAUCUAGAGGCUCCUACCUCUGCCUCCCUGUGGUUAUGAGUAUAAUGCACUUAAGGCCAAUCAGAGCCUUCCAUAAAAACACCUGUCAGGGGAGCCAGGGACCUCUGGGAGCUUCACCUUGCCAAGUUUCUUUGGAAUCAUCCCAUUUGGGGGGGUGGGGGACUGCCCCCAUGCAGCAGGCAGUGGUUGUGGAUAUACAAAAGAUCCAUGGGGAAAUCCUGUGGGUCCCAGGGCAUCUAGCGGUCUAGUGCCUCCAUGUGGCAGCACAGCCUAGCCCCCACUAGUAUCCAUGUUGUGCUUGGGCAAACCAUCCUCUUCAGUAGGGCUUGCACAGCACAGAGUGGGGGAGAGUCUGUGGAAAGCCCCUUGGGUUUACAGGUAGAUGAUGCCACAGAGCUUGGUUUAUUCCAGCCUCAUCCCCACUCUGUAAGAAAAGAACAGGUAAUAUAUUUAAAUAAAUACAAAUAGACAGGUGCCUUGACAUACCCAGAAUGUUUGGCAGCACAGCAGCUGAGUUCUCCCUGGAUGUACCUGAAAUAAUUGACAAGUGGCUAAAUAACUUGGGAUCCAACUUUGAUAAUGUGUAUUGUGAUGCAUUAAAAACUUGUUAAAAUUACAAGCUAUCACUUUAAGUUAUAAGGGGUUUCCUGGUUCUGCUGGUAGCCUAGGGAAAUCUGUAGGGAAGAAGCAAGUGAUUACAGCUGCAGAGUUGGCCUCUAGGGUGGGGUGAGUUGUGUUUCUCUGCUUUGGGGUGCAACCUGCUUUGUUUCUCUCUGUUUUUGUUUCUUGUGUGUUAGAGUUCUGGAUUCUAAGA
Malaclemys terrapin pileata is the source of this 2411-nucleotide long non-coding RNA. RefSeq lists it as uncharacterized. The transcript has 4 exons. NCBI's taxonomy places the organism in Eukaryota, Metazoa, Chordata, Testudines, Emydidae. The record is from RefSeq and is a predicted model, not a curated record.